This 235-nucleotide long non-coding RNA is filed under the name Physcomitrium patens. Its description in RNAcentral is "long non-coding RNA (PPAT_LNC010685)". The record is from RNAcentral. Lineage: Eukaryota; Viridiplantae; Streptophyta; Bryopsida; Funariales; Funariaceae.
UCCAAAAGCUUCCGUAAGACUCCUCUUAAACUCAAAAGAGUAACACUAGGUCUCAAAUUGACACCUUAACUUCAAAUGGCUAUAACUUAUUCACCCUAACUCCAAACCCUAUAAAAUUUGCACAAAAAUUGUAGCCAAAACCCUAAACUUUACAACCCUUGCCUUUGAUUUCCUAAUGGCCUCUUUGAAGUCGCCGAAACCCUUAUCAAGGUCGCGGGCAGCCUCCUAAAAGCCC